RNAcentral lists this ribosomal RNA (254 nucleotides) under uncultured bacterium. RNAcentral describes it as "partial 16S ribosomal RNA". It matches the Rfam family "Bacterial small subunit ribosomal RNA", at positions 524 to 776 of the family's 1533-position model. The record is from RNAcentral.
UACGUAGGGUGCGAGCGUUGUCCGGAAUUAUUGGGCGUAAAGAGCUCGUAGGCGGUGUGUCGCGUCGGCCGUGAAAACCUGGGGCUCAACUCUGGGCGUGCGGUCGAUACGGGCAUCACUAGAGUUCGGCAGGGGAGACUGGAAUUCCUGGUGUAGCGGUGAAAUGCGCAGAUAUCAGGAGGAACACCGGUGGCGAAGGCGGUGGUCUGGGCCGGCACUGACGCUGAGGAGCGAAAGCGUGGGUAGCAAACAGG